RNAcentral lists this ribosomal RNA (442 nucleotides) under uncultured bacterium. Its description in RNAcentral is "partial 16S ribosomal RNA". It matches the Rfam family "Bacterial small subunit ribosomal RNA", at positions 29 to 507 of the family's 1533-position model. The record is from RNAcentral.
AUGAACGCUGGCGGCAUGCCUAACCCAUGCAAGUCGAUCGGUAAGGCUCUUCGGAGUACACGAGAGGCGGACGGCUGAGUAACGCGUAGGAACACACCCUGCAGUGAGGGAUAAGACACCGAAAGGUGUUCUAAUACCGCAUACGGUCUUCGGAUUAAAGCAUUUAUGCGCUGAAGGAGUGGCCUGCGUCAUAUUAGAUAGUUGGUGAGGUAAUGGCUCACCAAGUCGAUGAUGUGUAGCUGGUCUGAGAGGAUGAUCAGCCAGACUGGAACUGAGACACGGUCCAGACUCCUACGGGAGGCAGCAGUGAGGAAUAUUUCACAAUGAGCGAAAGCUUGAUGGAGCAAUGCCGCGUGCAGGAUGAAGGCCCUCGGGUUGUAAACUGCUUUUAUAAGAGAAGAUUAUGACGGUAACUUAUGAAUAAGGGACGGCUAACUACGUG